This 274-nucleotide ribosomal RNA is filed under the name uncultured bacterium. Its description in RNAcentral is "partial 16S ribosomal RNA". It matches the Rfam family "Bacterial small subunit ribosomal RNA", at positions 523 to 796 of the family's 1533-position model. The record is from RNAcentral.
AUACGGAGGGUGCAAACGUUGUUCGGAAUUACUGGGCGUAAAGCGCGCGUAGGCGGUUUGUUAAGUCAGAUGUGAAAGUCCACAGCUCAACUGUGGAAGUGCAUUUGAAACUGGCAGACUUGAGUACUGGAGGGGGUGGUGGAAUUCCCGGUGUAGAGGUGAAAUUCGUAGAUAUCGGGAGGAAUACCGGUGGCGAAGGCGACCACCUGGCCAGAUACUGACGCUGAGGUGCGAAAGCGUGGGUAGCAAACGGGAUUAGAAACCCUAGUAGUCC